CAUAUCGAACUGGCCCCGAUGCGGAGGAUUUAGGAACUUUGGCCGCUCAAAAAGUCACAUCCAUUUCAGACAUCCAGAAGGGACCCCAGAAGUGGCACCUGCCCCACUUGGGGACAUCUAGGAGAGUGGCUUCCGGCCGCCUGUGGCUGUUGAGAGCAAGCCACCCUGAGCCUGCACGGAGGACUAAGGACCCUGCGCCUGACUCCCGGGGUCUGUCUCAGUUCUGGAGGUGAAGACCCUGUCCAUACAGAGCUUAGAACAAGUUUUGGGAGAUGAGAUAAAGCCACCCACUUGAGCUCCAAACUCUAUGGAGACUAUAUGAGAUAGAGAUCACCGUCCUGUUCCUGUUAUUGAUGAAGAGACCAGCAGGCAGAGCAGAUACAAUGUAACCACCUGCCUCCACGCCCUGCCACACCUCAGCGGUGAUGGACUGGCUGUAUCCUCACACGUGUGCCAUCCCUGUGAGUCUCUGAAGAAAACUUGCCUUUGCUCGACAACAGAGAGAUGCACAAUCAUCAUCUCUCCACGUUUCAGUCAGUGCGACUGACCCACAGCAUACGGUGGCAGUCAUGGACACAGCCCUCUGCUCUAGUUCCUUCACCAAAAUAAAAUAAGUGACUCUGAGUGCUUGGCCGGUAGCCAAGGACCUCUCAGGUUCAAUUCUUCAUCUUCUGCUUGCGAGAGUUAAUUACAGUGAGGGGGCAUGCGAAGCAAGAGCUCUUUGUGUUCACAGUGAAAUAAUGACUGAGUCACCCCUGAGACUGCAGAGGCUCCGGACUUCAGCUCGGCAUAGCGAGCACAAAUUCCCAACCUGAUAGCACGUGACUUUCUUUUUCAAAUGAAUCAGACUUUAUGAAUAAACAUCGACUUUUCCUCCCCCCACCCUCUAGCCCGACUGUGCCGAUUAGCAUGUUUUCUGCUUUUCUAGUUAAGUUGACUCACCAGUCCUUUUUAAGAGCCUGCUAGUUCUCGUGCUUCCUCCUGACAGGAUUCGGGGAUCCCUGCUCUGCACACCUGCUGACUGUCUAGCAUACCUUUGCCACUGUUUUUUU
Molecule: long non-coding RNA, 1052 nt
Filed under: Mus pahari (shrew mouse)
Lineage: Eukaryota; Metazoa; Chordata; Mammalia; Rodentia; Muridae
Description: lncRNA (MGP_PahariEiJ_G0002462.1)
Source: RNAcentral